UAGUGAAAUGAUGGCAAUCAUCUUUUGGUACUGAUCUGAAUUGAAGAGAACACUCAUUGCUAAUCAUUU
RNAcentral lists this small nucleolar RNA (69 nucleotides) under Dasypus novemcinctus (nine-banded armadillo). Its description in RNAcentral is "Small nucleolar RNA SNORD2 (ENSDNOG00000026804.2)". It matches the Rfam family "Small nucleolar RNA SNORD2". The record is from RNAcentral. Lineage: Eukaryota; Metazoa; Chordata; Mammalia; Cingulata; Dasypodidae.